RNAcentral lists this ribosomal RNA (207 nucleotides) under uncultured bacterium. Its description in RNAcentral is "partial 16S ribosomal RNA". It matches the Rfam family "Bacterial small subunit ribosomal RNA", at positions 568 to 774 of the family's 1533-position model. The record is from RNAcentral.
UACGUAGGCGGCUUUUUAAGUCGGAUGUGAAAUCCCUGAGCUUAACUUAGGAAUUGCAUUCGAUACUGGGGAGCUAGAGUAUGGGAGAGGAUGGUAGAAUUCCAGGUGUAGCGGUGAAAUGCGUAGAGAUCUGGAGGAAUACCGAUGGCGAAGGCAGCCAUCUGGCCUAAUACUGAUGCUGAGGUACGAAAGCAUGGGGAGCAAACA